UAAGGAAUAUUGGUCAAUGGACGCAAGUCUGAACCAGCCAUGCCGCGUGGAGGAUGAAGGUCCUCUGGAUUGUAAACUUCUUUUAUCUGGGACGAAAAAGGGCCUUUCUAGGUCAACUGACGGUACCAGAUGAAUAAGCACCGGCUAACUCCGUGCC
Molecule: ribosomal RNA, 157 nt
Filed under: uncultured bacterium
Lineage: Bacteria
Description: partial 16S ribosomal RNA
Rfam family: Bacterial small subunit ribosomal RNA
Source: RNAcentral